GGAAGGAUCAUUAUUGAUUCAAGAGGGAUGCGCUGGCUCUCUUGUAGAGCAAUUGUGCGCUCUCUCUCAAAUCUCACUCUAUUCACCUGUGCACACUUGGUAGGCAAAUAGAAAAGGAAACUUAGUUUCCAUCUUUUGCUUAUUGCCUUUUUACACACACUAUUGAAUGUCAUGAAUGUAAUUGAAAUAAAUGUAACAACUUUCAACAAUGGAUCUCUUGGUUCUCGCAUCGAUGAAGAACGCAGCGAAUUGCGAUAUGUAAUGUGAAUUGCAGAAUUCAGUGAAUCAUCGAAUCUUUGAACGCAUAUUGCACCCUCUGGGUAUUCCAGAGGGUAUGCCUGUUUGAGUGUCAUUCUUAUCUCAAGGCAAAGGGAGCUUUUUGUUUCCUUUGCAUUUGGAUGUUGAAGGAUUUGCUGGCCCCUCAUGCUAGCUCCUUUUAAAUGCAUUAGCAGGACUUUGCAGGACUAGCUUCAGUUUGAUACAUUUUGGUUAUCUGAGCUGUUGCAAGGAAUUGCAUCAUGGUCUUGCUUCAUAAACUGUCCCACUUUGCGGGACUUGUCUUCUGGACAAAUUAUAUCAAACUUGACCUCAAAUCAGGUAGGACUACCCGCUGAACUUAAGCAUAUCAAUAAGCGGAGGAAAAGAAACUAACAAGGAUUCCCCUAGUAACUGCGAGUGAAGAGGGAAAAGCUCAAAUUUAAAAUCUGGCAGUUCUAUUGGCUGUCCGAGUUGUAAAUUGGAGAAGUGUUAUCCGCGUUGGCCUGUGCAAAAGUCCCUUGGAAAAGGGCAUCAUAGAGGGUGACAAUCCCGUCUUUGGCACAGUACACCAAGGCAUUUGUGAUGCACUUUCAACGAGUCGAGUUGUUUGGGAAUGCAGCUCUAAAUGGGUGGUAAAUUCCAUCUAAAGCUAAAUAUUGGCGAGAAACCGAUAGUGCACAAGUACCGUGAGGGAAAGAUGAAAAGAACUUUGGAAAGAGAGUUAAACAGUACGUGAAAUUGUUGAAAGGGAAACGCUUGAAGUCAGUCAUGUCUCACUGAAAUCAACCUGACAAUAUUUUGUUUGGUGUACUUUCUGUGAGACAGGUCAGCAUCAGUUCUGAUCAUUGGAAAAAGGCCUAGGGAAUGUGGCAUCUUUUUAAGAUGUGUUAUAGCCCUUGGACCACAUACAGUGGUUGGGACUGAGGAACUCGAUGUAUGAUCAGCUUUGAGGCACUCGGUCUUGAAGCCAUGCAUUCCAGGAUGCUGGCAUAAUGGCUUUAAUCGACCCGUCUUGAAACACGGACCAAGGAGUCUAACAUGCAUGCGAGUGUUUGGGUGGAAAACCCAAGCGCGCAAUGAAAGUGAAAGUUGAGAACCCUGUUACAAGGGGUGCAUUGACACCCGGUCUUGAUCUUUUAGUGACAGACCUGCGGUAGAGCAUGUAUGUUGGGACCCGAAAGAUGGUGAACUAUGCCUGAAUAGGGUGAAGCCAGAGGAAACUCUGGUGGAAGCUCGUAGCGAUUCUGACGUGCAAAUCGAUCGUCGAAUUUGGGUAUAGGGGCGAAAGACUAAUCGAACCAUCUAGUAGCUGGUUCCCGC
This 1578-nucleotide unclassified non-coding RNA is filed under the name uncultured fungus. RNAcentral describes it as "sequence contains 18S rRNA gene, ITS1, 5.8S rRNA gene, ITS2, 28S rRNA gene". The stretch from base 584 to 1578 matches the Rfam family "Eukaryotic large subunit ribosomal RNA", at positions 1 to 961 of the family's 3401-position model. The record is from RNAcentral. Lineage: Eukaryota; Fungi.